Molecule: ribosomal RNA, 569 nt
Filed under: uncultured bacterium
Lineage: Bacteria
Description: partial 16S ribosomal RNA
Rfam family: Bacterial small subunit ribosomal RNA
Source: RNAcentral
UGGGGAAUAUUGCACAAUGGGCGCAAGCCUGAUGCAGCCAUGCCGCGUGUGUGAAGAAGGCCUUCGGGUUGUAAAGCACUUUCAGCGAGGAGGAAGGUGGUGAGCUUAAUACGCUCAUCAAUUGACGUUACUCGCAGAAGAAGCACCGGCUAACUCCGUGCCAGCAGCCGCGGUAAUACGGAGGGUGCAAGCGUUAAUCGGAAUUACUGGGCGUAAAGCGCACGCAGGCGGUUUGUUAAGUCAGAUGUGAAAUCCCCGGGCUCAACCUGGGAACUGCAUUUGAAACUGGCAAGCUAGAGUCUCGUAGAGGGGGGUAGAAUUCCAGGUGUAGCGGUGAAAUGCGUAGAGAUCUGGAGGAAUACCGGUGGCGAAGGCGGCCCCCUGGACGAAGACUGACGCUCAGGUGCGAAAGCGUGGGGCAGCAAACAGGAUUAGAUACCCUGGUAGUCCACGCUGUAAAACGAUGUCGAUUUGGAGGUUGUGCCCUUGAGGCGUGGCUUCCGGAGCUAACGCGUUAAAUCGACCGCCUGGGGAGUACGGCCGCAAGGUUAAAACUCAAAGGAAUUGAC